GGGGACGGGACGGGACGGGACGGGUGGGCGGUUCGUUCGCUGUUGGCGCCCAGCUUUUCUGAUUCUCUCUGAGAAAAACCUUCGAAAGGCCCGGGUCGCAGCGCGCGGGGCGAGGAGCGCCGCAGGCAGCCUCCCGCUGCCGGGAGGAGAUGCUGAGCCCGCCCGCGAUGAUGGUUCUGAGCGCGGCUGAUAAACACGCGGCCCCACGUGAAGUGUGCUCUCUGAACACACAACUUUGUGUAAGGAGAAGCCAGCAUACAGAAGUUCUGCUGAUACCGGCUGUCUUCCCCCGUGACUUCAGACCGUGCAGUCUGAGCACAAUAAGUGGUGCACAGGGAAGACCAGCUUUUGGACAGGGAUUGAAGAAACAUCAUGUGGGUGACUUGCAUGUAUGACAUAAUCCAUAUCCAGGCAUAUUAAUGACUGGGUUCUUACUUGGAUCUUACUCUGCGUCUUUGGUUCAGCAUCACUCAGCCCUGUGCUAUCCAAGCCAGUAUCAACCCAGUGUGUGAAACAUCAUGAGAUGCUGCAUUUCUUGGUAGAAGCAAAUGUCGAGGCAAAAAAAAAUUAAGGGAAAGAUGUAGGGUGCAGUUCAAAAGAGUUUUCAGUAUUCUCAUAAAUAAAUAGUUUUUUCCAAAAGAAACACAUCUGCAUUGUGACCAAAAGCUGUAGUACAAACCUGUAUUUGCCAAAAUGAGGUUUCAAGUUUUGCCCCGGUUUGAGUCAGUUGUAUAUUAAUGUGCCUUUUGCAUAAAUCAGAAAUAGUUAUGUCCAUUCUACCAUAGCAGCUUCAACAUACAUUUGAAAAUGACAGCUAUUUCAACUACAAAAUGAAGAAAGAGGAUUUCAUUUCACUGCAUUUUCUUCUAGACAAGCAGGCAUUUUUCUUACACUGAGAAUGCUGGUGUGUCACUGCAUAGCAAUCCACAGGAAUUACGAGGCAUCUAAUGUUCCUGCUCACUGAAGGAAACACUGACUGUGCAGCCAUCAGUUUGCUGUGAACUUCUCUACUUUAUCAUGCAGAUCAUGGCAUAGUUAUCUCAGAGAUAAGUUCUUCAUCACUUGGUUGUUCUUAUAAAACACAACCUAGGUUUUACCAUUUUAAAUAUUUACCAUAUACCCACGUGUAAUAUUCGAUACAUCUAAAAGCAUGCAAGUAAAUAUGUGUUUUUAAAACUUCAUUACCAGCAAUAAAGAAGUAUUUUUUUAAAAAAAGCAAUACUGCAUUUGUAUGUAGGAAUAUGAUCAAGCUGUUUAUGUAGACAUGGAGGUAAGGGAAUCUAUUGAUGUAAUCGGUAUCAUGGGGUUCUGAAGAAAAGGACAUACAGACAAGCACACUGCUUUACCUUAUUUUCAUUACGACUUCCUUAAAUAACUCUUCUUCUGUGUAUUUUCAUUCCAUAGGAUAAUUUGUAAAACCAUAUCCCUGAGUGUGGCAGUUCUAUGCACCCUAAGGAACUUCCUGUAAAACUGGUGGCUAUCUGGAAAGUUACAUCAGCUGAGGUUGGUUAAGUUAGUUUAGCAUGUAUUACCUUGAGAUUUUCCUUGGGAGGUAAUUCGUUGCUGGUUGUUAAACGCUAGCAUAAAUAGCAAAAUACAUACCGGUGUAUAUGAUGGUGCGAGUGCUGAUGUUGUUCUGGGACCAAAAGCUUGUGAGGGCGAGUCAGUGAGUUGUCACUCUAAUGUUUGACAGGUGUCAGGAAAAUCUGUUCAGAAUGUAUGUAAAAAGUAAGCCUCUAUUCUGAAAAAACACUGGGAAAAAUAAUGUAAUGGUAAUAAAUAUUGCUUAAAGCAAUGGAAAA
Long non-coding RNA from Gallus gallus (chicken), 1802 nucleotides. RefSeq lists it as uncharacterized. NCBI's taxonomy places the organism in Eukaryota, Metazoa, Chordata, Aves, Galliformes, Phasianidae. The transcript has 3 exons. The record is from RefSeq and is a predicted model, not a curated record.